Molecule: ribosomal RNA, 248 nt
Filed under: uncultured bacterium
Lineage: Bacteria
Description: partial 16S ribosomal RNA
Rfam family: Bacterial small subunit ribosomal RNA
Source: RNAcentral
GCAAGUCGAGGGGUAACAGGGGCUUUCUCUGCUGACGACCGGCGCACGGGUGCGUAACGCGUAUGCAACCUACCUUCUACAGGGGGAUAGUCAAUAGAAAUGUUGAAUAAUACUCCAUACGAUCUUUGAAUAGCAUUAUUUAAAGAAGAAAGUUCCGGCGGUAGAAGAUGGGCAUGCGUCCUAUUAGUUAGUUGGAGAGGUAACGGCUCACCAAGACAUCGAUAGGUAGGGGUCCUGAGAGGGGGACC